AUGAACGCUGGCGGCGUGCCUAAUACAUGCAAGUCGAGCGAACAGACGAGGAGCUUGCUCCUCUGACGUUAGCGGCGGACGGGUGAGUAACACGUGGAUAACCUACCUAUAAGACUGGGAUAACUUCGGGAAACCGGAGCUAAUACCGGAUAAUAUAUUGAACCGCAUGGUUCAAUAGUGAAAGACGGUUUUGCUGUCACUUAUAGAUGGAUCCGCGCCGCAUUAGCUAGUUGGUAAGGUAACGGCUUACCAAGGCGACGAUGCGUAGCCGACCUGAGAGGGUGAUCGGCCACACUGGAACUGAGACACGGUCCAGACUCCUACGGGAGGCAGCAGUAGGGAAUCUUCCGCAAUGGGCGAAAGCCUGACGGAGCAACGCCGCGUGAGUGAUGAAGGUCUUCGGAUCGUAAAACUCUUUUAUUAGGGAAGAACAAAUGUGUAAGUAACUAUGCACGUCUUGACGGUACCUAAUCAGAAAGCCACGGCUAACUACGUG
Molecule: ribosomal RNA, 496 nt
Filed under: uncultured bacterium
Lineage: Bacteria
Description: partial 16S ribosomal RNA
Rfam family: Bacterial small subunit ribosomal RNA
Source: RNAcentral